Molecule: ribosomal RNA, 560 nt
Filed under: uncultured bacterium
Lineage: Bacteria
Description: partial 16S ribosomal RNA
Rfam family: Bacterial small subunit ribosomal RNA
Source: RNAcentral
UGGGGAAUUUUGGACAAUGGGGGAAACCCUGAUCCAGCCAUCCCGCGUGUGCGAUGAAGGCCUUCGGGUUGUAAAGCACUUUUGGCAGGAAAGAAACGUCGCGGGUUAAUACCCCGCGAAACUGACGGUACCUGCAGAAUAAGCACCGGCUAACUACGUGCCAGCAGCCGCGGUAAUACGUAGGGUGCAAGCGUUAAUCGGAAUUACUGGGCGUAAAGCGUGCGCAGGCGGUUCGGAAAGAAAGAUGUGAAAUCCCAGAGCUUAACUUUGGAACUGCAUUUUUAACUACCGGGCUAGAGUGUGUCAGAGGGAGGUGGAAUUCCGCGUGUAGCAGUGAAAUGCGUAGAUAUGCGGAGGAACACCGAUGGCGAAGGCAGCCUCCUGGGAUAACACUGACGCUCAUGCACGAAAGCGUGGGGAGCAAACAGGAUUAGAUACCCUGGUAGUCCACGCCCUAAACGAUGUCAACUAGCUGUUGGGGCCUUCGGGCCUUGGUAGCGCAGCUAACGCGUGAAGUUGACCGCCUGGGGAGUACGGUCGCAAGAUUAAAAACUUAAAUG